GAUGAAGAACGUAGCGAAAUGCGAUAAGUAAUGUGAAUUGCAGAAUUCAGUGAAUCAUCGAGUCUUUGAACGCACAUUGCGCCCCCUGGUAUUCCGGGGGGCAUGCCUGUCCGAGCGUCAUUGCUGCCCUCAAGCACGGCUUGUGUGUUGGGCCCCCGUCCCCGGUUUCCCCCGGGGACGGGCCCGAAAGGCAGCGGCGGCACCGCGUCCGGUCCUCGAGCGUAUGGGGCUUUGUCACCCGCUCUGUAGGCCCGGCCGGCGCCAGCCGACACCCAACUUUAUUUCUAAGGUUGACCUCGGAUCAGGUAGGAAUACCCGCUGAACUUAAGCAUAUCAAUAAGCGGAGGA
Molecule: unclassified non-coding RNA, 348 nt
Filed under: soil metagenome
Description: partial contains 5.8S ribosomal RNA, internal transcribed spacer 2, and large subunit ribosomal RNA
Rfam family: 5.8S ribosomal RNA (bases 1-120)
Source: RNAcentral